RNAcentral lists this ribosomal RNA (818 nucleotides) under Mycobacterium avium subsp. avium. RNAcentral's name for it is "bacterial SSU rRNA". It matches the Rfam family "Bacterial small subunit ribosomal RNA", at positions 62 to 881 of the family's 1533-position model. Lineage: Bacteria; Bacillati; Actinomycetota; Actinomycetes; Mycobacteriales; Mycobacteriaceae. The record is from RNAcentral.
UCGAACGGAAAGGCCUCUUCGGAGGUACUCGAGUGGCGAACGGGUGAGUAACACGUGGGCAAUCUGCCCUGCACUUCGGGAUAAGCCUGGGAAACUGGGUCUAAUACCGGAUAGGACCUCAAGACGCAUGUCUUCUGGUGGAAAGCUUUUGCGGUGUGGGAUGGGCCCGCGGCCUAUCAGCUUGUUGGUGGGGUGACGGCCUACCAAGGCGACGACGGGUAGCCGGCCUGAGAGGGUGUCCGGCCACACUGGGACUGAGAUACGGCCCAGACUCCUACGGGAGGCAGCAGUGGGGAAUAUUGCACAAUGGGCGCAAGCCUGAUGCAGCGACGCCGCGUGGGGGAUGACGGCCUUCGGGUUGUAAACCUCUUUCACCAUCGACGAAGGUCCGGGUUUUCUCGGAUUGACGGUAGGUGGAGAAGAAGCACCGGCCAACUACGUGCCAGCAGCCGCGGUAAUACGUAGGGUGCGAGCGUUGUCCGGAAUUACUGGGCGUAAAGAGCUCGUAGGUGGUUUGUCGCGUUGUUCGUGAAAUCUCACGGCUUAACUGUGAGCGUGCGGGCGAUACGGGCAGACUAGAGUACUGCAGGGGAGACUGGAAUUCCUGGUGUAGCGGUGGAAUGCGCAGAUAUCAGGAGGAACACCGGUGGCGAAGGCGGGUCUCUGGGCAGUAACUGACGCUGAGGAGCGAAAGCGUGGGGAGCGAACAGGAUUAGAUACCCUGGUAGUCCACGCCGUAAACGGUGGGUACUAGGUGUGGGUUUCCUUCCUUGGGAUCCGUGCCGUAGCUAACGCAUUAAGUACCCCGCCUGGGGAGA